RNAcentral lists this transfer RNA (130 nucleotides) under Infirmifilum uzonense. RNAcentral's name for it is "Thermofilum uzonense tRNA". It matches the Rfam family "tRNA". From Rfam's summary of the family: Transfer RNA (tRNA) molecules are approximately 80 nucleotides in length. Their secondary structure includes four short double-helical elements and three loops (D, anti-codon, and T loops). The record is from Rfam by way of RNAcentral. Lineage: Archaea; Thermoproteati; Thermoproteota; Thermoprotei; Thermofilales; Thermofilaceae.
GGGCCGGUGGCUCAGCCAGGUAGAGCAUCCGAGCGCUUCCUAUAGCGCGGUGAAGCUGAUAAACGAGCGCGCCCCUCUGGCGCCUCUUCCAGAGACCGGGGGGUCCCGGGUUCAAAUCCCGGCCGGCCCA